Molecule: long non-coding RNA, 2287 nt
Filed under: Homo sapiens (human)
Lineage: Eukaryota; Metazoa; Chordata; Mammalia; Primates; Hominidae
Description: HSALNT0046591
Source: RNAcentral
AACAACUGCAGGGAUAAGAAUAGCCCAUGGCUGACAGUGCAUUUGCUUCUACUUGUCCUGGUCAAGGUUUUCUAAUUCGGGCCCAAGAGAGUAUUCAUGUCUCCAGGAGGCCACCCUAUGGCACGUUAGGCAUUCUUGAGAGACUGGCGGCCUCAGUCCUUGUGUUUGGAGCAGUUCUGCUAGAGGAGGAAACAGCACAAAGGGCACUCUUAUGCUGCUGUAAACCAGUGCCAGGAUUUUUAAAAUGUGAGACACCUGUUACCCUAGAGUGUGAAGAGGAGGAGAAAGGCUGAAGAGGAGGAGAAAGGCUAAGAUCUUUUCCAAUGCAAAAUUAGGAAAAAAUAUACUACAGAUUUAUGAAAAAAUAAGAAGUGAAAGUAUUCUCUGACUGCAAGUAUGACCACCUGUCUUUCUAUAUCAGAACCCAAGCUAAAAGACUGCAUUUACUACCCUUCCUUGCUAACAAGAGUGACUACGUGACUAUGUUCUGGCCAAUGCAAACAGCCUGAAAAGCUGAUGUAAUGACUGGAUCUUCAGCAGCCACCUUGAGCAAGAGGUAGAAGCUAGAGGCUGAGGAAUGAUGGAGCAGAAAGGAAGGAGCUGGGGUUCCUAUUAACAUCCUGAAGCUACACUAUCAGGCCUGGACUGACCAACUCUUUCUGGCCUUCUUUUACAAGAGAAAAAUACAGUUAUUUAAACCACUAUACUUCUGUUUUCUUUUUUGGGGUAUAGAUAACUGAACCUAAUCCUGUCCCAAAUCCUGAUCCUAUCUAACCAGUGUUAGCUAUCAGCCCAUACGUAUACUGGAGAAUGACGUUUAACAAAAUAAGAUGUUAAAGUUCUAACUAAUUGUAAUAAUCAUGCAGUUUUCUCAUGCUGAACAAAGUUAAAGAAAUAUAAUGUGUGUUUCCUAAAGAGUGUCAUUUUUUGGAAAGAUAACAUGGGGCACAAAGUAACAUAAAAAUCUACAUAUAAUUAUGUAAACAUUGCUUUGACAUACAACACCAAAUAUUUUUAUUGUAUUUGUGAAUGCAUUUCUUGGUAAUAAAACGGCAGUUAUGAAUAAGUGAUACUUGGAAAGCUAUAACAUAAUGGGAGGAGAAGGUAUUAACACUGUGAUUUUAUGGGGUUGAAUCAGUUUUAGUUUCUUAUACAACUCAGAGCUUUACGUUAUUUAGACUGUCUAAACACUGGCGCAAGGUAGCAUUUUACUUAUCAAAACACUGGAGGAGGCAGUCUAUUUUAUGUGGGAAUAAUAGCUUUUUAACAGUGUUCGAUUAGGAGACAUUAGGAACCUUGCCUUGAAAACCAUUAGCAAAUUUAUCUAGAAGAUUUUACGUUACAUCUUAAAACAACCAGCUGCUAAGGACAUCCUAAACUGCUUAGUAUGCCAAUUUGCCUCAGAUGCUUGCCAUAUAAGCUGCUUUCAGGAGUCAGCAAUGAGUAUCAUAGAUACUUGAGGAUAAAAGGUUGAAGGAUAUUGGCAUUCAAAGAUGAAGCCAGAAACCCUGUACAGCCAAAAAAAUUAAACUUGCAUUUUACUUUGGAGUGAAAUGUCUUUGCUAUUUCCAAAGUUUUUAACUUUUGGGUUCUCAACUAGCCCUAGCAAUAUAAGGGCCUGACUAAUGACUCUUCCCAACAUUGUCAAACUUAAUUCAAACUUGAAAUCAAUCCCCUUUUUUUUCCUCCUAAAGCAAAGUAACUCACAAUAAUAAUAUGAGUACAUGUGAAUGGCCAAUUUAGAAGUUUAAGUCAUUCUUUUGUAAUCAGUACUAGAAUUAACUAGUGAUUUUUUUUUUUGGCAAGGAAUAACAAAAUAAUAGAAACUCCAUAUAUAUUAGAAAAAGAUCUGUAAGUUUGAGCCUUAUAUAUUAUUACAAUGUGGCAAUCAAGAGGAAAACUCAAGACAACUGUGCGCUGUGCUUGUCCUGUUUUGUUCAAACCACGAUAAUUUUAAAUAAAUAGUAAUGUUCAACAUUCACUGAUGACAUUAUCUAUCAACCACAUCACACCUGGAACACAGUAGAUAAUAAAUGGCAGCUGUUAUACCUUCCUUCUUGAAACAAAAUCCUGUCAUUUCAUUCUCAUUUUAACUUUGUGUUAAGCUUCUACAAUCCAUAAAAAUGAUAAAACAAUAAAAUGGUCCAACAUUAUCUAGUCCAGUCUUAUUUUUACAAAACAUUGACUUUAAAAGUCCCUGAGAUUUUAAUUUUACUGGUUUAAUCUGUCUUCCCUACCCUUGUUUAAAAAAAAAUAGAAUCAUGUGUCAUUAUUGGUUGAGUACCCG